CCUACGGGUGGCAGCAGUGAGGAAUAUUGGUCAAUGGUCGCGAGCCUGAACCAGCCAAGUAGCGUGAAGGAGGACUGCACUAAGGGUUGUAAACUUCUUUUGUCAAGGAAUAAAGUCAGGCACGUGUCCCUUUUUGUGUGUACUUGAUGAAUAAGGAUCGGCUAACUCCGUGCCAGCAGCCGCGGUAAUACGGAGGAUCCGAGCGUUAUCCGGAUUUAUUGGGUUUAAAGGGAGCGUAGAUGGGUUGUUAAGUCAGUUGUGAAAGUUUGCGGCUCAACCGUAAAAGUGCAAUUGAUACUGGCAGCCUUGAGUACAGUGGAGGUAGGCGGAAUGCGUGGUGUAGCGGUGAAAUGCUUAGAUAUCACGAAGAACCCCGAUUGCGAAGGCAGCUUACUAAACUGCCACUGACAUUGAUGCUCGAAAGUGCGGGUAUCAAACAGGAUUAGAUACCCGUGUAGUC
Molecule: ribosomal RNA, 460 nt
Filed under: uncultured bacterium
Lineage: Bacteria
Description: partial 16S ribosomal RNA
Rfam family: Bacterial small subunit ribosomal RNA
Source: RNAcentral